This 468-nucleotide ribosomal RNA is filed under the name uncultured bacterium. RNAcentral describes it as "partial 16S ribosomal RNA". It matches the Rfam family "Bacterial small subunit ribosomal RNA", at positions 28 to 507 of the family's 1533-position model. The record is from RNAcentral.
GACGAACGCUGGCGGCGUGCUUAACACAUGCAAGUCGAACGGAAAGGCCCUGCUUUUGUGGGGUGCUCGAGUGGCGAACGGGUGAGUAACACGUGAGUAACCUGCCCUUGACUUUGGGAUAACUUCAGGAAACUGGGGCUAAUACCGGAUAGGAGCUCCUGCUGCAUGGUGGGGGUUGGAAAGUUUCGGCGGUUGGGGAUGGACUCGCGGCUUAUCAGCUUGUUGGUGGGGUAGUGGCUUACCAAGGCUUUGACGGGUAGCCGGCCUGAGAGGGUGACCGGCCACAUUGGGACUGGGAUACGGCCCAGACUCCUACGGGAGGCAGCAGUGGGGAAUAUUGCACAAUGGGCGGAAGCCUGAUGCAGCAACGCCGCGUGCGGGAUGACUGCCUUCGGGUUGUAAACCGCUUUCGCCUGUGACGAAGCGUGAGUGACGGUAAUGGGUAAAAAAGCACCGGCUAACUACGUG